GCAGGAAUCGCGGAACCCGCUGCCCCUUAGGCCGCCGUUUACCCUCUAGCCUGAGACAUUGCUGAAGAGAAGCAGACACUUUCUGGAUAUUUUCGGGGGGCCCGAGUUUGAGGAAGCACUUGCAGUCACCUCGUCCCUAUUUUAGCACCUGAACUUUCCUUCUGAAGAAGCCUUUUUGUGGAAGAGUAGAUGGAAGAAUCACAUGACAAGAAUUAUUUGCAACCCCCAACUGGAAUACAUUCUGAUACAACCAUGGUUUUGCUGCUCCCACUUUGCCUUCAUUCCCUGACAGAAAGUUUUUCAUUCUCAGGUAACCACCAAAUUUGCUUGGUAUGAACUUCCAUUCCUCCUGAAGAAGCAACAUGGCUUUCGCACUAAUAAAUAUAUCUUUUUCUUAUACUUCAAUAUUAUCAUUAUGAACAACAAAUACAGUGAAAUAUGUCAAAUGCCC
Molecule: long non-coding RNA, 451 nt
Filed under: Canis lupus familiaris (dog)
Lineage: Eukaryota; Metazoa; Chordata; Mammalia; Carnivora; Canidae
Description: lncRNA (ENSCAFG00000057722.1)
Source: RNAcentral